Molecule: transfer RNA, 73 nt
Filed under: Bos taurus (domestic cattle)
Lineage: Eukaryota; Metazoa; Chordata; Mammalia; Artiodactyla; Bovidae
Also listed under: 5 other names
Rfam family: tRNA
About the family: Transfer RNA (tRNA) molecules are approximately 80 nucleotides in length. Their secondary structure includes four short double-helical elements and three loops (D, anti-codon, and T loops). Further hydrogen bonds mediate the characteristic L-shaped molecular structure. tRNAs have two regions of fundamental functional importance: the anti-codon, which is responsible for specific mRNA codon recognition, and the 3' end, to which the tRNAs corresponding amino acid is attached (by aminoacyl-tRNA synthetases). tRNAs cope with the degeneracy of the genetic code in two manners: having more than one tRNA (with a specific anti-codon) for a particular amino acid; and 'wobble' base-pairing, i.e. permitting non-standard base-pairing at the 3rd anti-codon position.
Source: Rfam by way of RNAcentral
UCUCUGGUGGUCCAUUUGUUAAGAUUCUGUACUUCCACUGCAGGAGGCAUAGGUUUGAUUCCUGGUCAGGGAA